Molecule: microRNA precursor, 288 nt
Filed under: Orobanche cernua var. cumana
Lineage: Eukaryota; Viridiplantae; Streptophyta; Magnoliopsida; Lamiales; Orobanchaceae
Description: miR167b
Rfam family: MIR167 microRNA precursor family
Source: RNAcentral
UGUGUGUUGGUCUGAGAGGUUGAAGCUGCCAGCAUGAUCUGGUGUUGAUGGCAAGUCCGUGUUUUGCCCCUUCGUAAUUGAAAAACUUGAUCUUGAUUUCUUUCGUGUAUACAAUUUUUUUGAUGUUUUUUUUUUCGAUCUCAAACAAUCAGAAAUACUAUAUAUAUAUAUAUCAAUUUAAUUUAUAUACAAAUUAUACACAAAUUAAUUUCGAUUUGAGAUUUCAAUAUGUAGAUUGGGUAAGAUAUCAUCAGGUCAUCUAGCAGCUUCAAUCACUCACCAAUCACU